RNAcentral lists this long non-coding RNA (3055 nucleotides) under Venturia canescens. Its description in RNAcentral is "uncharacterized LOC122409306". Lineage: Eukaryota; Metazoa; Arthropoda; Insecta; Hymenoptera; Ichneumonidae. The record is from RNAcentral.
AAGAGCUCCGGCUACGAUACAAGCAACUCCAACGUAGCGUACAGGCUCGACGUAGUUUUCAGCCAAACCUAGCCAAUUAAUGAGGGCACCGACGCACAAUAACACCAUACCGUAACGGGAAAAUGCUCGACAAUGAAGUCCCACCUUUGGGGGACGACGAAAAAGAAUCCAUCAAACUCGAAAAUGGUCGGAAAGACAUUUGUCACACUCGUUUUAUAUUCACAAAUAUUUUUUUCUUCCAUUACACAAGUAUCAGGAUCGAAAUAAUUUGUUUUCGGAGAAUUCAUCAACGAAAAAUUGGAAGAAUAAGAUAAACGAAAUCCGAAAAUUUCAGCUUCCGUCAGAGAAACCCCAUCGAUUCGAUUUGUACGUUCACACAUGUCGACAUCGUCUAUACAGAAAGUUCUAUUUUCCCGAAACCGUUGUAGAGAGCACCCAAUAUAAUUUUAUACGAAAUCACUCGGGACGGUGCCCAGAAUAACAUUUCAAAGCGAUUGAAAUCUGAGGGACGAACGGGGGCUACCGGGGCUGCUAGUUCGCCGCAACGGGACGAGUUAAUUAUCCAUCAAUAACAUGGAAACCGAGGAAUGUAAACAUACGGGCGGUUCAUAUUGUGUUCUUUGCGAUCUCCCACACAUUCGCGUCUCUCAAUGCGUGUGGACUCUGAUUUUUUUCCAAAUGCAAAUUAUUCGGAGCGAAUGAAUCUUCCAUUGUGGAUGCUCAAGUUCCGACCCCUUGGCGCGGCCUUUCGAGAACUUCGACGACUGUGUACGUGACAAUUAAUUACUACGGUCAUUCUCGUCAGGGUUUCGUCAAUGGAGUGACACGUUUCGCAGUCAAAGUAAGAGGAUAAAGAUAGAGGGCUGAGGUGGACAAGCCUAACCCACUUCGGCUCGUUGUUCAUCGUCUAUUUUGGUCUCUCCUCUCCGUUAUCGUAUUCACCUCUGCGAACUCAAAUCUCACGCUCUCCUUUUCCGGAUAGGAUUUGAAACGAUGCAUUACUUUUCGUGCCCAUUGCAAUGUUACUCAUUCAAAUGGCAUUCUCGAAAUGGUUAUAAAAAGCAUAAAUAUCAUUGAGAAAAUUUGGAUGGAAGGGAUCAUUUGAAAUUCAGAAAAAAACCAGCACUUUACCGGUUCGAUUUGUCACUGCUCUUUCUUCGACAAUACCUUGGCAAGUAAUCGGUUCAUUCUCAUACAGGUUUCUUAAGAUAUCAUUGGAAAUAAUUAUAAUCAGUUUUCCAAGAGUCCGAUAGAGAAUUCACUCAAAUUUCAUUACAAUGCGAAGCUCGUUCGACUCCUAAUCUCACUGGCUUUUAACGCAGAGGCUGGAAGAGAGCGAGCGGAAAAUCUCACACUCGAAAAAUGUAUCGAAUCGCAGCUCCAUCUCAAAAUAGUUAAUAAAAUAUAAAAAUCGUAAUGAUUGAGAGACGCGAGAUAAAAAUGUAAAAAUUCGUUUAAAUAUUAUUUUCGUUUAGUUUCUAUCUAUAAAUUGUAGUUUAUUUGUAAAGGACGACGGCUCAAAUUCUCACAUUCGAGUUUUCUCCUGCCACAGACUCAUAUUCGAAAUCUACAAUACAAGCAGCACGAGUUUCCGUUUCAAUGAUGUGGGAAAAAAAAACCAAAAAUUAUCAUAGCCCGUGAAUAUAAAAAAAUCUAGAUCACUGAUAAAUACAAGGAGGAAAAAAACUCGUCGCUAGUCGGUGCAAAGAGAGAAAAAUUCGUUGAAUUCGUUCGAAAAUAUCGCUGUUCGAAUUUUCAACGCUCCAUUGUAAUGCUCAUACGUUCCUGUAUGUAAAACAGUCACGGCCGCGACGCAACGCAAUUCUUCGUUAUUUUAACCGAGGUUCGGUAAGCCUGCGAGAUUUUAUCCUAUCUUGCAUGCAUGUACAUAUGUAAUUGUAUAUUUUUGAGAUUUGUCGUUUUUAUUGCGUCGUGAAAAAAGCUUGGUGAGGUUCGAUCGAAACACGUUGCAUUAAUUUUCCAACAGCAACAACGGCAUUGUCAAAUAUGCCCAAGCAUUUAUGGUAUUGAACACAUUUUCGCUCAUCAGAGAUACGAAAACUGUAUUUUUACUGGAAUAUUUCGUUUUUCGAGUCGGUUCGAAAAUGAGGUCGGUUCUUUAAAAGAAGCUAAUAAAGGUUUGUUUACGUGGCCCUGGAAUUGCCGAUUAGUCGGCAAGUUUUCACUAGGAUCGAUUCCUUCCACGAGCAACCUUAAAAGGAAUUUAUUCGCGUAAAAAGACAUUUGAAAAAUUAACGACGUCGAAGUUUGCCACGUUUGGCGUUCAACGAAAUGAACGAAACAAAGAUUUGUCAUUCACCAAUUUUUUAUUUCACCAAUCAUUGGUGCAGGUUGGAAAACUACGAAUUGAAAAUUCGUCAGAGAACAAAAUUGGAGAUUUACUCGAAUUAUUCGAGAGUUUUUUUACACCAUUUCGUUGUACUCCAACGUUGCGAACUUCAGCGUCAUAAAAAUUACACUCUCACGUACGAACUGCCCGAAAGAUUUUAAUGAAAUUUUGAAAACACUAGGCUUUGAGGUAUCAACUGUCGCAACAGUGACUUUAAAUAUACCGGAGCGUGGAUUAAUUUUUAUUAGUGUCAUAAAAAAAUUCAUACCAUGCACUAAAAUUAAGAAUCUUUCGAUUUCUCCAUGCUUUUUCUUUCCUCACAAUUUCUUAUUUCGACCAAAACUCGAAAAUUUGUCCAGCUCGGCAUUUUCAUCGAUCCCAUUGGCUGAAAUUCAAUUUUCAAAACCAUCUUCCCUCAUUAUUUAGAGUAUGACAGUUAACCGUCACGAUAAUAUCAGCUGGCACUAAAAAUAUGGAAGAUCAUAAAAGAUCGUAAAAGAUAAAAAUUAUGAAGGAAGAUCGAAGAUUUUUUUCGUCUUUUUAAGGCGAAAUAUUUCAGUUGAUCUCUUCGUUUCCAUGAUUGAAAAUACAAUGUCGUCAAAAUAUUGAUUAUUGGAAAAAAACGACGCCGAACUUUGCAACGUUCGAGUCCAACGAAAUGAUCUAAAAAAAAAUCCAAUAAUUCCAGUAAUUCUCCAAUAUCGU